UGUUCUUAAAUUUUCAGAUUUAGCUUUAAAGCGAUACCUCCGUAAUUUGGAUCGUUCUCCUUCGUUUCUGAAGCAAAUUCAGUUCCGCUUCGUCGCUGAGAAAGUAGACUCAUUCCUCUACAACUUUGCCUUUCGAAUUUUGUCAAACGCCGUUUGGAGAUCGAAAUCCGUUCCGUUCAUUCCCCGUGAUAGUAGGCUCGCUCCUCUACGAUUCUACACUUUUCUUUUGUCAAACGGUACGUAAACGCACCCGUAUCAAUCGCCGUCGUUUCAUCGUUUUGCGGUAGCUUAAGUUUCUACUUGCUCUGUUUAUUGUCAUAGGCUAAGUGUUGAUUCCUGGGUGUGAUUCUUAUUACGUUAGGCUAUUAUCUUACGUCCGAAUGAAGUCGUUUCAUCUCUGAAAUUCUUCAAAACUUCAUUGAUUCUCAGAGACCCGUCGACUGCUCGUGCUUCGGAGUCUACGCAGGGUUAGCUGUUUGCCAAGAUCACGUGGAUAAGCAAGCAGUUUAUUAUUUUGAGCGAGUCUGCAGAUCUCCGAAUCUUUAUUCCUCGGAGGUUUAUUUUCUUUUUAAUAAAUUGUCAAACUACUUUUAUUCUUAGACCGCAGUAGUAAAUUAGAAGUCUAUAUUAUUCUAGUCUGUUUGUCGGAUUUGUCUGACUGGCUUUCUUUUAUGCUUUGGCAUUAAUAUUGUUUAACUCUGGUUAUAUUUAUUUAAUGGAAGUACUUAUAUUUAAACUGUUA
This is a long non-coding RNA of Mercurialis annua (annual mercury), 742 nucleotides long. RefSeq lists it as uncharacterized. NCBI's taxonomy places the organism in Eukaryota, Viridiplantae, Streptophyta, Magnoliopsida, Malpighiales, Euphorbiaceae. The record is from RefSeq and is a predicted model, not a curated record. The transcript is spliced from 4 exons.